This 77-nucleotide microRNA precursor is filed under the name Microtus ochrogaster (prairie vole). RNAcentral's name for it is "miRNA (ENSMOCG00000004832.1)". The record is from RNAcentral. Lineage: Eukaryota; Metazoa; Chordata; Mammalia; Rodentia; Cricetidae.
CCUGGAACUCACUUUGUAGGCCAGGCUGGCCUCAAACUCACAGAGAUCUGCCUGCCUCUGUCUCCUGCGUGCUGGGA